RNAcentral lists this ribosomal RNA (447 nucleotides) under uncultured bacterium. RNAcentral describes it as "bacterial SSU rRNA". It matches the Rfam family "Bacterial small subunit ribosomal RNA", at positions 355 to 793 of the family's 1533-position model. The record is from RNAcentral.
UGGGGAAUUUUGGACAAUGGGGGCAACCCUGAUCCAGCCAUGCCGCGUGCGGGAAGAAGGCCUUCGGGUUGUAAACCGCUUUUAGCCGGGAAGAAAAGGCGCGGGCGAAUACUCCGCGUUCUUGACGGUACCGGCGGAAUAAGCACCGGCUAACUACGUGCCAGCAGCCGCGGUAAUACGUAGGGUGCGAGCGUUAAUCGGAAUUACUGGGCGUAAAGCGUGCGCAGGCGGUUCGUUAAGUCUGAUGUGAAAGCCCCGGGCUCAACCUGGGAAUGGCAUUGGAUACUGGCGGGCUGGAGUGUGGCAGAGGGGGGUUGGAAUUCCGCGUGUAGCAGUGAAAUGCGUAGAGAUGCGGAGGAACACCGAUGGCGAAGGCAGCCCCCUGGGCUGACACUGACGCUCAGGCACGAAAGCGUGGGGAGCAAACAGGAUUAGAUACCCCGGUAG